Molecule: ribosomal RNA, 1628 nt
Filed under: Rhinophrynus dorsalis (Mexican burrowing toad)
Lineage: Eukaryota; Metazoa; Chordata; Amphibia; Anura; Rhinophrynidae
Description: large subunit ribosomal RNA
Rfam family: Bacterial large subunit ribosomal RNA
Source: RNAcentral
GUUAAACAUCUAGCCCAACCUAAAACACCAACCUAUAACCUCAAACCCUCACAACCAGCUAAAACUAAAGCAUUUUAUCUCUUCAGUAUGGGCGAUAGAACAAGAUACAGGAGCCAUAGAAAAAGUACCGCAAGGGAAAGAUGAAAUAGAAAUGAAACAACCCCCUUAAACACUAAGCAGCAGAGAUUAACACUCGUACCUUUUGCAUCAUGGUCUAGCUAGUCCACCCAAGCAAAAAGUUUUUUAGUUUGACCUCCCGAAACUAAGCGAGCUACUCCGAGGCAGCUUUAGAGCCAACCCGUCUCUGUGGCAAAAGAGUGGGAAGACCUCCGAGUAGGGGUGACAGACCUACCGAGCUUAGUGAUAGCUGGUUGCUCAGGAAAAGAAUUUAAGUUCAACCUUAAGAGCUGUUUAAAGCCCAUAAAGCAUAAAACCUAUCUUAAGAGCUAUUCGAGCGGGGUACAGCCCGAUCGAACAAGGGUAAAACCUAUAAUGCUGGGUAACGAUUAUACAAUUAAAGGUAACAGAUCAAGUGGGCCUAAAAGCAGCCAUCUUUGAAGAAAGCGUCAAAGCUCAUUCUACCAUAAACCAACAAUUUUAAAACCUAAUCAAAACCCUAACACACUACUGAGCUGUUCUAUACACCUAUAGAACCAUUUAUGCUAGAACUAGUAACAUGAAUUUAUUCUCCCAAAUGCAAGUGUAAAUCAGAUCGAAGCAAUCACUGAUAAUUAACGGCCUUAAAUGAAAAAAAUGUAGCAACCCACCAAGAAAACCCUAUACCACACACCGUUAAACUUACACAAGAGCAUUCCAGGAAAGAUUUAAAGACUUGGAAGGAACUCGGCAAACAAGAACCCCGCCUGUUUACCAAAAACAUCGCCUCUUGCCCAACUCAAAUAAGAGGUCCAGCCUGCCCAGUGACCAUGUGUUCAACGGCCGCGGUAUUCUGACCGUGCAAAGGUAGCGUAAUCACUUGUCUUUUAAAUAGAGACUGGUAUGAAUGGCACCACGAAGGUUCAACUGUCUCCCAAAUCUAAUCAGUGAAACUGAUCUCCCCGUGCAGAAGCGGGGAUUUCCACAUAAGACGAGAAGACCCUAUGGAGCUUUAAACUAGGACCACCUGUUUUUCUUUUCAAACCAACCAGGCAUAACCACUAGCUAAGCAGAUCUGGCUCCCUUGUUUUCGGUUGGGGCGACCACGGAGAAAAAAAAAUCCUCCAUGAAGAAAGGAAAUCUCUCCUAAACCAAGAACCACAUUUCUAAGCAUCAGAACUUCUGACUAUAAUUGAUCCAGUCUAACUGAUCAACGAACCAAGUUACCCUAGGGAUAACAGCGCAAUCUAUUUUAAGAGUUCAUAUCGACAAAUAGGUUUACGACCUCGAUGUUGGAUCAGGGCCCCCCAGUGGUGCAGCCGCUACUAAAGGUUCGUUUGUUCAACGAUUAAAGCCCUACGUGAUCUGAGUUCAGACCGGAGUAAUCCAGGUCAGUUUCUAUCUAUGAAGAAUUUUCCCCAGUACGAAAGGACCGGAAAAAUAUGGCCAAUGCCACAGCAAGCCUUAACCUUACCUCAAUGACACUAACUAAAUUGACUAAAACUCUACUACUACGCCCAAGAACAGGGCUA